RNAcentral lists this long non-coding RNA (549 nucleotides) under Callithrix jacchus (white-tufted-ear marmoset). Its description in RNAcentral is "lncRNA (ENSCJAG00000056991.2)". The record is from RNAcentral. Lineage: Eukaryota; Metazoa; Chordata; Mammalia; Primates; Cebidae.
AGGAUAAAUGCCCUUUUAGAAAACACUUCAUAGAGCUGCCUCCCCACUCCCAUGCCUUCUACCCAUUUGAGGACACCUAGACCACAUCGUCUCUGAGGAAUGAGCCUUUUCCUUUCCUAUUCUCCUUCUACCAUGUGAGGACGUAGCUUUACUUUCUGUUCCAUAGGAUGCAACAAUAAGGUACCAUCUUGGAAGCAGAAAGCAGAUCUCACCAGAAACCAAAUCUGCCAGCACCAUGAUGUUGGAUUUCCCAGGCUCCAGAACAGUUUGUUUUUCUUCAGGAAAGGAAAUCAGAUACAACAUAUGUCUUGUGUUUCAUGAUGUCUUUUUAAAAAUUUUUUGACAACCUGGGUGAUACACCAUGCAGGAAGGGCAAGAGUAAUGAUGAUAGACUCACUUUGCUGUCGAAAUUGGAAUGCACUGGUUCCAUCAAGGCUCACUGCAGCCUCAGCCUCCGGGACUCAAACAAUCCUCCCUGCUCAGGCUCUCACCGAGUAUCUGGGAUCACAACUACACCACAUGGUGGAUACACGGACACGAAGGGUUUGA